RNAcentral lists this unclassified non-coding RNA (253 nucleotides) under uncultured Alphaproteobacteria bacterium. RNAcentral's name for it is "contains 16S-23S intergenic spacer region". It matches the Rfam family "Bacterial small subunit ribosomal RNA", at positions 524 to 776 of the family's 1533-position model. The record is from RNAcentral. Lineage: Bacteria; Pseudomonadati; Pseudomonadota; Alphaproteobacteria.
UACGUAGGUGGCAAGCGUUGUUCGGAUUUACUGGGCGUAAAGCGCGCGUAGGCGGACAUUUAAGUCAGGGGUGAAAUCCCAAGGCUCAACCUUGGAACUGCCUUUGAUACUGGAUGUCUGGAGUUCGGGAGAGGUGAGUGGAAUUCCGAGUGUAGAGGUGAAAUUCGUAGAUAUUCGGAGGAACACCAGAAGCGAAGGCGGCUCACUGGCCCGAUACUGACGCUGAGGCGCGAGAGCGUGGGGAGCAAACAGG